RNAcentral lists this transfer RNA (84 nucleotides) under Thermoleophilaceae bacterium. RNAcentral's name for it is "tRNA-Leu". It matches the Rfam family "tRNA". From Rfam's summary of the family: Transfer RNA (tRNA) molecules are approximately 80 nucleotides in length. Lineage: Bacteria; Bacillati; Actinomycetota; Thermoleophilia; Thermoleophilales; Thermoleophilaceae. The record is from RNAcentral.
GCGGCUGUGGCGGAAUAGGCAGACGCGAUAGCUUCAGGAGCUAUUGGGCGAAGGCCCGUGGGGGUUCGAGUCCCUCCAGCCGCA